AACCAACCUAAGAACUAGAAAUAACGGUUUACCCAUUCAGUCUAAGCGAUGUAACACAGACAUCGGAAGGAGUUUCUUUUCAAACCGAGUCAUCCGUCAAUGGAACAAUCUUCCUUCAGAAGUAGUAAAUGCGAAUACUAUCAACUCCUUCAAAUAUAGAAUCGACCGUCACUUCGCUGCGUCGGGAGUAAACUGAAUAUUGAGUUGCUUUCAUCUGCUCCUCAAUAUCGAGGUGCUUUCAUCUACUCCUCAAUGUCGAGGUGCUUUCAUCUGCUCCCCAGGCCCCAGGCUGUCGAGCAGAUUAAAUCACCAAAGCGGGCAACCUCGUAAUGAGCCAAUAGGCUUUCUGUUGCCUGCGUUUCCAUGUUUCCAUGUUUCCAUGUUUCUCACAUCAUCUAUUUCUAAAGGUCAAAGAGGGAUGUCAGUCAGGUUCUAACGAGUGCGGGUUAUAAUUAUGCUGUAGACUGUAUGGGGAGGCUCAGCGGAAACUGCUGGGAACGAAUAAAGAAAAAAAUGUUUUGGAAGUGAGUGAUAUCUGUUCGAUCGGAGAGAUGCUGUGGCCUUGGCUUCGAAUGGAUGAAUGAAUGACGUAGUUAAUUAGAGUAUUAUAUGUUGGGUACAAAUACUUCAUUCCACAACACCGCAACAGAAGAGAGUUAAUGGCAUACAAGGAUAAAUUCAGGUGCUAACAAAGCCUAUUUUAAUAGUCACGCCCGAGGGUUGAGACGCAGCAGACAGCAUGGCGUGCAGCGGGAAGCACUCAUAGCACCAGUUUUUGACAUUUUCCGGCAAAGUGACGCGACGCAGGGACGUGAGGAACCUGGGACACGAUGAGGGUGAGCAAACACGUCCUUGGCGAGGCUUGCUACGUUGUGUUACUUGAUAAAUGAUUUGAUAUAUGGAUGCAAUGGGUGCCACGUGUGUGUGUGUGUGUGUGUGUGUGUGUUACCUGACAGGGGUGUAAGGUGUGACAGAGGGUGAGUUUAGGGUGAUUUAGGUGACGGGUGUAGGGUGUGACAGGGGGUGACCCAGGGGUGUAAGGUGUGACAAGUGUGUGUAACUUGUGACCGAGGGUGAGUUAGGGGUGAUUUAGGUGACGGGUGUAAGGUGUGGCAGGGGUGUGUAACAUGUGACAGAGGGUGAGUUAGGGGUGAUUUAGGUGACGGGUGUAAGGUGUGACAAGGGUGUGUAACGUGUGACGGGGUGACAGGGGUGGUUUAGGUGACGGCUGUAAGGUGUGACAGGGGUGUGUAACGUGUGACGGGGUGACAGGGGUGAUUUAGAUGACAGGGGUGAGGUGUAAAACGAGGCUGAGUUAAAGAGGGAGUGGGACAUCCGGGUUGCCACAGUGUCCCUCCCCCAGGCGCCCCCAGGGUAGGACACAUUUAUCCCCAGCCCGAGUGAAGUAUUCUGGGCUGCACGCCGACUGUCCGGACCGGGAAUCGAACCUUUGCCCGCGGAUUCAUAGCUAGGCACGCCAACCACUUCACCACGCACGGAGGGCCCGGUAUCUUCUAAUGUAAUAUCUUCAAAUACAUGACAGAUAGCGACUUACAGGAAGCUUAUGCCAGAAAACAUUAAAGGAAUGUCUUGAAAUGUUAGGUGAUGGUGCAGAUGUGAAGUUACCGAGUUAAAAAGACUUCAUAUUGGAUUGAUAGUUAGUCAUUUGUUUAAUCUCUUCUCAUAUAAGUAUUGCUGUGACCUCGUGUGUGUGUGUGUGUGUGUGUGUGUGUGUUUACCUAGUUGUGACAUACGUGUGUGUGUGCGUAUGUGUGCUGUAGAGCCUAAUAAGAUAGUGUAAAACAUGAUAGAGUUCAGUAAAACAAUAAGAUAUGAUAAAAUGUAAUGAAAUGUAUAAUAAAACAUAUAUAAUAAACAACCCGAAAACAUAAAACCUUAACAUUACAUUAUAUAACUCUUACUUCAAAUAUUAUUAACAUUAACAACUAAUCUAACCAAACUGAACCUUAACUAACCACACAUAACAAUAGUAGUAGUAGUAGUAGUAGUAGUAGCAGCAG
This is a long non-coding RNA of Eriocheir sinensis (Chinese mitten crab), 2021 nucleotides long. RefSeq lists it as uncharacterized. The transcript has 2 exons. The record is from RefSeq and is a predicted model, not a curated record. Lineage: Eukaryota; Metazoa; Arthropoda; Malacostraca; Decapoda; Varunidae.